RNAcentral lists this ribosomal RNA (508 nucleotides) under uncultured bacterium. RNAcentral describes it as "partial 16S ribosomal RNA". It matches the Rfam family "Bacterial small subunit ribosomal RNA", at positions 30 to 523 of the family's 1533-position model. The record is from RNAcentral.
AUUGAACGCUGGCGGCAUGCCUUACACAUGCAAGUCGAACGGCAGCGGGGGAGAAGCUUGCUUUUCCUGCCGGCGAGUGGCGAACGGGUGAGUAAUACAUCGGAACGUGCCCUGUAGUGGGGGAUAACUAGUCGAAAGAUUAGCUAAUACCGCAUACGACCUGAGGGUGAAAGUGGGGGACCGCAAGGCCUCAUGCUAUAGGAGCGGCCGAUGUCUGAUUAGCUAGUUGGUGGGGUUAAGGCCUACCAAGGCGACGAUCAGUAGCUGGUCUGAGAGGACGAUGAGCCACACUGGGACUGAGACACGGCCCAGACUCCUACGGGAGGCAGCAGUGGGGAAUUUCGGACAAUGGGCGAAAGCCUGAUCCAGCAAUGCCGCGUGUGUGAAGAAGGCCUUCGGGUUGUAAAGCACUUUUGUCCGGAAAGAAAUGGCUCUGGUUAAUACCUGGGGUCGAUGACGGUACCGGAAGAAUAAGGACCGGCUAACUACGUGCCAGCAGCCGCAGUAA